This 143-nucleotide ribosomal RNA is filed under the name Dolichlasium lagascae. RNAcentral describes it as "5.8S ribosomal RNA". It matches the Rfam family "5.8S ribosomal RNA". From Rfam's summary of the family: 5.8S ribosomal RNA (5.8S rRNA) is a component of the large subunit of the eukaryotic ribosome. Lineage: Eukaryota; Viridiplantae; Streptophyta; Magnoliopsida; Asterales; Asteraceae. The record is from RNAcentral.
AUAUCUCGCUCAUGCAUCGAUGAAGAACGUAACCAAAUGCGAUACUUGGUGUGAAUUGCAGAAUCCCGUGAACCAUCGAGUUUUUGAACGCAAGUUGCGCCCGAAGCCAUUCGGCUGAGGGCACGUCUGCCUGGGCGUCACGC